RNAcentral lists this ribosomal RNA (478 nucleotides) under uncultured bacterium. Its description in RNAcentral is "partial 16S ribosomal RNA". It matches the Rfam family "Bacterial small subunit ribosomal RNA", at positions 28 to 523 of the family's 1533-position model. The record is from RNAcentral.
GACGAACGCUGGCGGCGUGCUUAACACAUGCGAGUCGAACGGUAAGGCCCUUCGGGGUACACGAGUGGCGAACGGGUGAAUAACACGUGGGUGAUCUGCCCUGCACUUCGGGAUAAGCCUGGGAAACUGGGUCUAAUACCGGAUAGGACUCCGGACUGCAUGGUCUGGGGUGGAAAGCUUUUGCGGUGUGGGAUGGGCCCGCGGCCUAUCAGCUUGUUGGUGGGGUGACGGCCUACCAAGGCGACGACGGGUAGCCAGCCUGAGAGGGUGACCGGCCACACUGGGACUGAGAUACGGCCAAGACUCCUACGGGAGGCAGCAGUGGGGAAUAUUGCACAAUGGGCGCAAGCCUGAUGCAGCGACGCCGCGUGAGGGAUGACGGCCUUCGGGUUGUAAACCUCUUUCAGCAUCGACGAAGCGAAAGUGACGGUAGGUGCAGAAGAAGGACCGGCCAACUACGUGCCAGCCGCCGCCGUAA